AUAAUUAGCGGUAAGUAGCGGUUUGAAGGAAAACAGCAGAAAGAAUCCCCCGCGGCGAGUGUAAGAUUUCCGGAAUGUUCCGAGCCUCAAGGACAGACGGUAAGCGACCCCCCGCUACCUCCUUUAAUGGGUUCGGGUAUAAAUGACCUUCCCGGCUGUGUUUUUGUCUCCUGAUUGACGGCAGGAGUUCCUCUGACCCACAUUUGCAUCUGUUGCGAUGACCUACAUACACCGCCGUCGAUGAGUGAUUGAAGCAGCGUCAACCUCGAACCUGCGAUUUCCUCUCUCACCCCGAAGAGUCGAUAUUAUUAUUAUUAUUAUUUUCCUUCAGCGGACUGUGCGAAAGCCGAGCCAGGGGGUCGGGUUUAGGAGCCUUGCUAAUGUUGCUAAUUAGCGAGAUUAGCCUGGGCGCUAAUCCACACAGCAGAAUAAUGAGCCUCUGAAAAUGGAGAAUUUUCUCCAAGUUCACUGGUGAAGGCGUUUUAUUUUAAAUCACCUUUUAAUUUUUCUCUUUUUAUUCUGUAUUUAUAUCUUAAAUCUCCACACAGGCUCCCUCGGAGGUCAAUAAAGUACAUCCAUCCAUCUGUCCAUCUGUCCAUACACCCAUCCUUCUGUCUUUCUGUCUGUUUAACUACAUAUCUAUUGAUCUUUUUAUCUAUAUGUCUAUCUAUCUGUUGAUCUGUCUAUCUAUUAUUGAUCUUUCUAUCUAUCUGUCUAUCUAUCUAUCUAUUGAUCUUUCUGUCUAUCUGUCUAUCUAUCUAUCUAUUGAUCUUUCUAUCUAUUAUUGAUCUUUCUAUCUAUCUAUCUAUCUAUCUAUUGAUCUUUCUAUCUAUCUGUCUAUCUAUCUGUUGAUCUGUCUAUCUAUUAUUGAUCUUUCUAUCUAUCUGUCUAUCUAUCUAUCUAUUGAUCUUUCUAUCUAUCUAUCUAUCUAUCUAUCUAUCUAUUGAUCUAUCUAUCUAUCUGUCUGUCUAUCUCUUGAUCUAUAUCUGUCUAUCUGUCUAUCUAUCUAUUGAUCUUUCUAUCUAUCUGUCUAUCUAUCUGU
This is a long non-coding RNA of Ictalurus punctatus (channel catfish), 1042 nucleotides long. The record is from Ensembl. NCBI's taxonomy places the organism in Eukaryota, Metazoa, Chordata, Actinopteri, Siluriformes, Ictaluridae.